GGGUAUAUGGUAAAUAUCUAAAUAUUAAGUUAAAAAUGUUCAAAAGGGAAAGGCAUUCAUCAAUCAAAUUCUAUCCAAAACACACCUUUUAUUUCCCUCAGAAAUGGAUACAAAGCUUUAUUUCUUCGAAUAUCAACUUGACCUAAACCCUAUCUCAUUCCGGCUCCCACAAUUGGGAACAUGACAGCACCCCCAUCGGUACUAUGCUCUAGUCCGAUAAAUCAAAGUGUAGCCUUCCAUAAGUCGGCGAAGCAAUACAAAUGUUGCAUCUCAAAUGACGAAAGCUCAGUAGUCGAAAGCAUUAUUAGCUUAUGCUUCGACCCAAGUAGCACAAGACACAUGAAAUCCUGUGUAAAUCAGUAACGGCCAUCUUGCAAAGCUAAAUACUCUUGGUUGACCGAUACAAAAUAGUACCUUGAGGGAAAGGCGAAAAAUAAUCCCGAUCAAGGAGUGAAAUAGAACAUGAAACCGUAAGCUC
RNAcentral lists this ribosomal RNA (478 nucleotides) under Olea europaea subsp. europaea. Its description in RNAcentral is "Bacterial large subunit ribosomal RNA". It matches the Rfam family "Bacterial large subunit ribosomal RNA", at positions 181 to 565 of the family's 2925-position model. The record is from Rfam by way of RNAcentral. Lineage: Eukaryota; Viridiplantae; Streptophyta; Magnoliopsida; Lamiales; Oleaceae.